ACGGAGGGUGCGAGCGUUAAUCGGAAUCACUGGGCGUAAAGCGCACGUAGGCGGUGUCGUAAGUCGGAUGUGAAAGCCCUCGGCUCAACCGGGGAACUGCAUUCGAUACUGCGACGCUUGAGUGCCGGAGAGGGUGGCGGAAUUCCAGGUGUAGGGGGGAAAGGCGGAGAUAUCUGGAGGAACACCAGUGGCGAAGGCGGCCGCCUGGCGGGCAACUGAGGCUGGGGUGCGGAAGCGUGGGGAUGAAACAG
This 251-nucleotide ribosomal RNA is filed under the name uncultured prokaryote. Its description in RNAcentral is "partial 16S rRNA". It matches the Rfam family "Bacterial small subunit ribosomal RNA", at positions 525 to 775 of the family's 1533-position model. The record is from RNAcentral.